GGAUUGUGGCUUAGUGGUAGAGUGCUCGCCUAGCAUGCAUGAGGCACUGGGUUCGAUCCUCAGCGCCA
Molecule: transfer RNA, 68 nt
Filed under: Marmota monax (woodchuck)
Lineage: Eukaryota; Metazoa; Chordata; Mammalia; Rodentia; Sciuridae
Description: tRNA.Ala
Source: RNAcentral